AAGCUUGUCUGUGAAGAGGUGAAUGUGGACCGAUUUUAUCCCAUCUUAUACCCAAAGGCAUCCAGACUUAUUGUGACCUUUGAUGAGCACGUCAUCAACAACAACUUCAAGUUUGGAGUCAUCUACCAGAAAUUUGCGCAGACAUCAGAAGAGGAGCUAUUCGGAAACAAUGAGGAAAGUCCAGCUUUUGUUGAGUUUCUGGAGUUCUUGGGAGAGAAGAUUGAACUUCAUGAUUU
This is a long non-coding RNA of Sinocyclocheilus grahami, 236 nucleotides long. RefSeq lists it as uncharacterized. The transcript is spliced from 3 exons. Lineage: Eukaryota; Metazoa; Chordata; Actinopteri; Cypriniformes; Cyprinidae. The record is from RefSeq and is a predicted model, not a curated record.